GGUGGGUCCUGAUUAUGUGCUGGUGGGUUUGUUUACAUUGUAUCAGAACGGCAAUAAAACGACUGUUUUGUUGCUUAAUUUUUCUCUGAUGUGUCAUAAGUACCAUGCAAAGUAUAUUACAACAAUAUUAUAUUGCAAAAGUCGUGCAAGUUCGUUAAACGGAAUUGUCCUGACGCUGUGCUGGUGAUAAGAAAAACGGUCCUGGUUCUGUGCUCCUAUGUCCUGGUUCUGUGCUUUUAUAUUUUAGUUAAAAGUGGCAUAUAUUCAAGAUCAUUGAUGCUGUACUGUUAUUGACUUAUUAGCUGUUGUCUGCUUUCUUGAAAUUGACAUUGUUGUGAAUGUGUUUACUGUUAUUAUGAGAGAAAAAAUACCCCUAUUUUUUUAUUUUUUUUUUAAACUAACUGUAAUCUUAUUUAUUGGCCUGUUAAUGGAACCCUUCUUGCCUCUUUUAAGAUAAGAAAAUAUGUUUACGAUUUUCGGGAUUACGAUCAUUUUGCAAGAUCACCAAAAUACGUUGUAAUUUAUACAAUACUUAUAUAUAAAGUAGAUGAUGUGGUAUGUUUGUUGUCAAUGGACAAAUUUCCAUAAGAAACCAAAGGAAGUAUGUGUUAACAACCAUACGUCAUCG
This 628-nucleotide long non-coding RNA is filed under the name Mytilus galloprovincialis (Mediterranean mussel). Lineage: Eukaryota; Metazoa; Mollusca; Bivalvia; Mytilida; Mytilidae. The record is from RNAcentral.